CGUACACUCCUACGGGAGGCAGCAGUGGGGAAUAUUGCACAAUGGGCGCAAGCCUGAUGCAGCCAUGCCGCGUGUAUGAAGAAGGCCUUCGGGUUGUAAAGUACUUUCAGCGGGGAGGAAGGCGAUAAGGUUAAUAACCUUGUCGAUUGACGUUACCCGCAGAAGAAGCACCGGCUAACUCCGUGCCAGCAGCCGCGGUAAUACGGAGGGUGCAAGCGUUAAUCGGAAUUACUGGGCGUAAAGCGCACGCAGGCGGUCUGUCAAGUCGGAUGUGAAAUCCCCGGGCUCAACCUGGGAACUGCAUUCGAAACUGGCAGGCUAGAGUCUUGUAGAGGGGGGUAGAAUUCCAGGUGUAGCGGUGAAAUGCGUAGAGAUCUGGAGGAAUACCGGUGGCGAAGGCGGCCCCCUGGACAAAGACUGACGCUCAGGUGCGAAAGCGUGGGGAGCAAACAGGAUUAGAUACCCCAGUAGUCC
Molecule: ribosomal RNA, 474 nt
Filed under: uncultured organism
Description: partial 16S ribosomal RNA
Rfam family: Bacterial small subunit ribosomal RNA
Source: RNAcentral